RNAcentral lists this transfer RNA (75 nucleotides) under Opitutaceae bacterium. RNAcentral's name for it is "tRNA-Arg". It matches the Rfam family "tRNA". Rfam says of the family: Transfer RNA (tRNA) molecules are approximately 80 nucleotides in length. Their secondary structure includes four short double-helical elements and three loops (D, anti-codon, and T loops). Further hydrogen bonds mediate the characteristic L-shaped molecular structure. tRNAs have two regions of fundamental functional importance: the anti-codon, which is responsible for specific mRNA codon recognition, and the 3' end, to which the tRNAs corresponding amino acid is attached (by aminoacyl-tRNA synthetases). tRNAs cope with the degeneracy of the genetic code in two manners: having more than one tRNA (with a specific anti-codon) for a particular amino acid; and 'wobble' base-pairing, i.e. permitting non-standard base-pairing at the 3rd anti-codon position. The record is from RNAcentral. Lineage: Bacteria; Pseudomonadati; Verrucomicrobiota; Opitutia; Opitutales; Opitutaceae.
AUCCCUGUAGUUCAACGGAUAGAACUAGUGUUUCCUAAACACUCGAUGUGGGUUCGAUUCCCGCCGGGGAUACCA